AUUAGAGAGGGGCUUAUGCGAGUAUCCUUUGCUAUUACCCUGUGGUCAUUGUCGAGGGUUUGAACACUAUCGCCUAGGCACGAUCCUGACCCUGAGCAUUCACAGGGACCUAAACCAGACCUAAACCAGACGUGUGUUUGACUCUUGCACUCCAAUGGAGGUUGAAGGCAAUUCCAAUACUGGGAGGACAGGCGCCAGUAUUGGAGAUGCGCUCGAAUCUGGUAAAACCUUCUUGGUUCAGAGCAACCCGGAGGAGCAGCUCCCGGAUCUGGGAGAGGAGGCCAAGAUGUGGCAGAAAGAGAAGUAUGACUUUGUUCCAGGUGAGGACAAGGACCAAGAAGACGUGAAUCCCACAACAGCAGGGGACCUCGCGCACACUGAAGAUGACAACAUAAUCAAUGCAAAACCUGGUACGGAUCAGGGUGGGGCACAAUGGUGAGUCAGAGGCAAAACCUGGU
This is a long non-coding RNA of Electrophorus electricus (electric eel), 458 nucleotides long. The record is from Ensembl. Lineage: Eukaryota; Metazoa; Chordata; Actinopteri; Gymnotiformes; Gymnotidae.